Molecule: transfer RNA, 69 nt
Filed under: Atta sexdens rubropilosa
Lineage: Eukaryota; Metazoa; Arthropoda; Insecta; Hymenoptera; Formicidae
Description: tRNA-His
Source: RNAcentral
AUUUAGGUAGUUUAAAUAAAAUAUUAAUUUGUGGAGUUAAAGAUACUUUAUAUAGGAGGGUCCUAAAUU